Molecule: transfer RNA, 67 nt
Filed under: Onthophagus yukae
Lineage: Eukaryota; Metazoa; Arthropoda; Insecta; Coleoptera; Scarabaeidae
Description: tRNA-Pro
Source: RNAcentral
CAAAAAGUAGUUUAAUUAAAAAUUUUAAUUUUGGAGAUUAAAGAUGAAAAUAAAUUUUUCUUUUUGA